This 497-nucleotide ribosomal RNA is filed under the name uncultured bacterium. RNAcentral describes it as "partial 16S ribosomal RNA". It matches the Rfam family "Bacterial small subunit ribosomal RNA", at positions 28 to 507 of the family's 1533-position model. The record is from RNAcentral.
GAUGAACGCUGGCGGCGUGCCUAAUACAUGCAAGUCGAGCGAACAGACGAGGAGCUUGCUCCUCUGACGUUAGCGGCGGACGGGUGAGUAACACGUGGAUAACCUACCUAUAAGACUGGGAUAACUUCGGGAAACCGGAGCUAAUACCGGAUAGUAUAUUGAACCGCAUGGUUCAAUAGUGAAAGACGGUUUUGCUGUCACUUAUAGAUGGAUCCGCGCCGCAUUAGCUAGUUGGUAAGGUAACGGCUUACCAAGGCAACGAUGCGUAGCCGACCUGAGAGGGUGAUCGGCCACACUGGAACUGAGACACGGUCCAGACUCCUACGGGAGGCAGCAGUAGGGAAUCUUCCGCAAUGGGCGAAAGCUUGACGGAGCAACGCCGCGUGAGUGAUGAAGGUCUUCGGAUCGUAAAACUCUGUUAUUAGGGAAGAACAAAUGUGUAAGUAACUAUGCACGUCUUGACGGUACCUAAUCAGAAAGCCACGGCUAACUACGUG